AUUGAACGCUGGCGGCAUGCUUUACACAUGCAAGUCGAACGGUAACAGGCCGCAAGGUGCUGACGAGUGGCGAACGGGUGAGUAAUGCAUCGGAACGUGCCCAGUCGUGGGGGAUAACUACUCGAAAGAGUAGCUAAUACCGCAUACGAUCUAUGGAUGAAAGCGGGGGACCGUAAGGCCUCGCGCGAUUGGAGCGGCCGAUGUCAGAUUAGGUAGUUGGUGGGGUAAAGGCUCACCAAGCCAACGAUCUGUAGCUGGGCUGAGAGGACGACCAGCCACACUGGGACUGAGACACGGCCCAGACUCCUACGGGAGGCAGCAGUGGGGAAUUUUGGACAAUGGGCGCAAGCCUGAUCCAGCAAUGCCGCGUGCAGGAAGAAGGCCUUCGGGUUGUAAACUGCUUUUGUACGGAACGAAACGGCUCUGGUUAAUACCCGGGGCUAAUGACGGUACCGUAAGAAUAAGCACCGGCUAACUACGUG
RNAcentral lists this ribosomal RNA (482 nucleotides) under uncultured bacterium. Its description in RNAcentral is "partial 16S ribosomal RNA". It matches the Rfam family "Bacterial small subunit ribosomal RNA", at positions 30 to 507 of the family's 1533-position model. The record is from RNAcentral.